CUCUGCAUCUGUUCUUCCUGGAGAGGACUGACUCCCCUUCUGUGGCUUGAGGCAACAGUGGCAGCAUUGUUAAUCAUAGGAGUCUUUUCCAAGGACAGAGGUCUGCUUCACAAUCCCCAGUUAUAUUUCCUUUGGUGAUGUGGGAGGAAUGAAUCUCUCUAGGAGUUCCCUGGGAGCUGUGGCUAUCAUUUAAGUGCUGCAGUCCUGGAGCUGAAAUAUCUCUUAGUAGCAGUUAUCAAAAAGAAAGCCACUGAAACCCAAAUAUAUUCCCAAAAGGAAAGAAGAAAGGAACAAACAAGAUGCUCAGAUGAGAAAUAAAUAAAAAGAGAAAAUCCAAAAGCAGAAAGGGAGAGGAACAACAGAGCACAAUUGUUGCUUGUAGGCAUCUAGAGGCAGAACUUCCUUGGGCAUUCUACUAAAGCAACAAGGACCCAGGACUGUAUCACAACAACUUUGUGGGUUGUAAGAGUAACUUCAGCUCUCUAAUGAGAAUAGGUGGAUAAACUUGUCUGAGAAACUGUGAUGUGUGCACCACUCUACCCAUUUUCUCCUGAUUUUAUAAGCUGAUGGAGUGAGAUAAUGUCUUCCACAAGUUUCUCAAUCAUUCCCACCCACAAAAAGUAGGUGAAGGCCUUCUUUAAGCUUAGCCUUUGUGACAGGCUGAGUGAAAUGAACAUUAAUAGAAAUUUCUUAUUGUAAACCCCAUGAAAAUAAGUGAAAUUGGAAAAUAUGUUAAUUUAUGGAGAUGAAUGACUGCAGAGAAAAACCUAAUAAA
Molecule: long non-coding RNA, 775 nt
Organism: Mauremys mutica (yellowpond turtle)
Lineage: Eukaryota; Metazoa; Chordata; Testudines; Geoemydidae
Exons: 3
Source: RefSeq, a predicted model, not a curated record